GCGCAGCAGGCGAGAAUACUUCACACUGUGACGAAAGCGACGAUGAGGGAAUCCCAAGUGCUUGCACGUAAGUGUAAGCUAGUUUCUCUGUCUAAAACGCAGAGAGAGUAAGGGCUGGGUAAGACGGGUGCCAGCCGCCGCGGUAAUACCUGCAGCUCAAGUGGUGACCGUUAUUAUUGGGCCUAAAAACGUCCGUAGCCGGUUUAAUAAAUGCCUGGGUAAAUUGUGUAGCUUAACUAUACGAAUUCC
Molecule: ribosomal RNA, 249 nt
Filed under: uncultured microorganism
Description: partial 16S ribosomal RNA
Rfam family: Archaeal small subunit ribosomal RNA
Source: RNAcentral